GACGAACGCUGGCGGCGUGCCUAACACAUGCAAGUCGAGCGGGGUCCAACCAGUGGCAACACUGGGGAAGACCUAGCGGCGAACGGGUGAGUAACACGUGAGGAACCUGCCCCGAAGACUGGGAUAACUCCGGGAAACCGGAGCUAAUACCGGAUGCCCUCACCAAGCCGCAUGGCCGGGUGAGGAAAGGUUAAUUCUGCUUCGGGAGGGUCUCGCGGCCUAUCAGCUUGUUGGUGAGGUAACGGCUCACCAAGGCGUCGACGGGUAGCUGGUCUGAGAGGACGAUCAGCCACACUGGGACUGAGACACGGCCCAGACUCCUACGGGAGGCAGCAGUGGGGAAUCUUGCGCAAUGGGCGAAAGCCUGACGCAGCAACGCCGCGUGGGGGAUGACGGCUUUCGGGUUGUAAACCCCUUUCAGCAGGGACGAUAGUGACGGUACCUGCAGAAGAAGCCCCGGCCAACUACGU
RNAcentral lists this ribosomal RNA (470 nucleotides) under uncultured bacterium. Its description in RNAcentral is "bacterial SSU rRNA". It matches the Rfam family "Bacterial small subunit ribosomal RNA", at positions 28 to 506 of the family's 1533-position model. The record is from RNAcentral.